UUUUUUUUUUGUUUUUGUUUUUUUUAUGGCCGCACCCAUGGCAUACGGAGGUUCCCAGGCCAGGGGUCAAAUUAGAGCUUAAACUGCUGGCCUACACAACAGCCACAGCCAUAGCAAAGCCAGAGCUGACCGUGUCUGCGGCCUACACCACAGCUCAUGGCAACGCCAGAUCCUUAACCCACUGAGGAAGGCCAGGGAUUGAACCUGUGUCCUCAUGGACACUAGUCAGAUUCAUUUCCACUGAGCCAUGAGGAACUCCUCAUUUUACAUCUUUACAAAUCUUUUUUCUGUCUACCUUAAUGGAAGAUAGCUGGAUUCUUGGAUCCAUUUCUGCUUUCAAUCUCUCGUGAAAUCACAGAUCUCAGUUUCUGGAAAACUCCACCAUACACUUGUAAAGCCACUGGUCCCAUCAAUGUUCACUUUAACACCUGAGACAAGUAGACACACAGGUCACACUUGAACGUGCUCAGUGAAUGGAAACUUACCAGCCCACUGCUCCUCCCAAAGCAUCUCGGUUAGAAAGUUCCUCUCUCUGUCCUGCUAGCUGUUCUCUCUCAUUAGUCAUAGGCACGCUCCUUAACAUUAUUCAGAAUAAAUUUCAUCAUUUCUUUAAGGCUAAGCCCCUCAUAUACUUUACUGUAAGAGUUAUUCAUAGCUUUAUAGUUUACAGGGUACUUUUGCCCAUACUCUCUUAAACAAUAACUUUAAGAUAAUCAAUUCGAUUCUAAACACAUAUGUCAAUAGAAUUUAUCAUGAGUUAUGCCCUCCUGCUGACAGUCUCAAGAUCUGUCUAUGAUCUUUUACCAGACACAAAUAGUCCCUAUAGCAACAGUUUUCAGGUAUCAGACUGGCAGAGCUUAUAGACUUCAAGUGUCUGGGAUGGUAAAAUUAAAAGUACACUGAAAGCAAUUAAUGCCAUUUAGAAGAGAGAGUUCCCUUUUCUGCUUAAGUCACACCUUCUCAUUGCAUUAGACAUCCAAGCCUUGUGUUUUAAGUGCCUCCUACAGCAUCCUGAAAGCUUCAUGCAUGUUUCCACAUGCCUUGUAAAUAACUUAAGCUUGGCUGUUCAUCAAAUUUGUCCACCAGGUCCCUGCUUAGAGGUGGCCUAGGGAGAUGACGUGUGCUGGUUAGUGAGGGUAGAAAGACAACAUUUGUGGCUGGUUCUGAAACACAGAACAAGUCCUGGAAACAUCUCCAAAAAAACCACUAUCCAGAAUAGAAAAUACAGUUUCUUCUCAUGGUAACCCUAAAUUCUGGGAAGAAAAAGCAGUGCUCAGCCAGAUUUAAAAAUUGAGUUUGAAAUCCUCUUACAUCCACAUGAAAAUACCUGACACACACACCAAAAAAUGGUACACUGUUUAGGGGAAUGCAAAUUGGUGCAAUCAUCAUGGACAACAGUAUGAAGGCGCCUCAACAAGUUAAAAAUAUUAAAACUACUACAUGAUCCAGCAAUUUCACUUUUGGGUAUACAUCCAAAAUAAAUGAAAUCAGCAUCGCAAAGAGAUGUCUGCACUCCCACAGUCACUGCAGUAUCAUUCACAUUAGCCAACAUAUGGAAAGAACCUAAGUGUCUAUUAGUCGAUAAAUGGCUAAAGAAACUAUUAUAAGAUAAAAUACAAUAAUUAUAUAUAUGUGUGUGUGUGUGUGUGUGUGUGUGUAUAUAUAUAUUUCCCAGCCAUCGGAAGGUGUGAAAUUUGGUCAUUUGCAACAACGUGGAUAUACUUAGGGGAUAUUAUGCUAAGUGAAAUAAGACAAAUACUGUAUGAUAUCACAUGUGUAGAGUAUUUUUUUUAAAUGUUGAACUCACAGAAACAGAGUAGAACACUAGUUACCAAAGGGGUAGGGAAAAUGGAGAGAGGCUGAUUAAAGGGUAUGAGCCUUCAUUUACAAGCUGAAUAAAUUCUAAGGAUGUAAUAUACAGCAUGGUGACUAUAGUUAAUAAUACUAUACUGUCUAUUUGAAAUUUGCGUAGAGAAUAAAUCUUAAGCAUCCUCACCACACACACACACACACACACACACACAAAUGGUAACUAUGCCAGGUGACAAGGUGUUAAUCAACCCGGUUGUGGUAAUUAUUCUACAAUGUAUAUCACAUCACCAUGAUGUGUACUUUACAUAUUUUAUUUGUCAAUUAAACCUUAAUAAAUCUGAACAAAAAAUAAAGUGAGUAUACAGGUAUUAAAAAUAAUCAUGUUGUGUUCUUUAAAUACAUACUUUUUUUUGGCCCCACCCUUGGCAUAUGGAAGUUCCCAGGUCAGGGAUCAAAUCCCAGCCACCGCUGCAACUUAAGCACCUGCACUGACACAGCAACAGCAACACAGUAUCUUUCACCAUUUCUUUCACCUGGCUGGAAAUGGAAUCGUGCCUCAGCAGCAACCUGAGCCGCUGCAGAGACAAUACCAGAUCCUUAACUCACUGCACCACAGCAGGAACUCCUAAAUAUACACUAUUUUAUUUGUCAAUUAUACAUCAAUAAAAUGGGGGGAAAUAAAUAGAAAUAGAAAUAAAAAAGGAAGAAGAGGGAAAACAAAAUGAAUUGAAUCUAUCUGAAAGCCAUUUGCUAAUAUUUUCAAAUUCGUAAUUCAGAAGGAUCCACUCAGAAUGGACACUUUACAUUACAGGGUUUACAGAACAUAAUGUUGCCCUGAACAAAACCCAGAUUAAUAUUACACAAUUCAGAGGCCUCGUUCAACCAUCUCUUGCCUUCUCUCACCGCAUAACAAAGUAGAUUAGUAUUUUACUCUUAAUAGUAACAGCUAACAUUUAUUGAGUAUUUAUUAGUCAAGGAUUGUACUAGAUGCUUUUCAGCUUUACCUCAUUUAAUGCUAAUAACCACACUAAGUACUAUUAUUAUACCCUUUUUCUAGGGAAGAAAAUGAAAUUUAUAAAGCAUAUAGCCAAGGUUACAGAACUAGAAAAUGGCAGAAAGAGAAUUGCAAACAAUAGCCUAUGAAGUGCCAAAGCUCAACCUUUGAAUCACUGCCCUAUAAAAUCUAGUAGCAUGAAAAAUCGAAUACAUUUGGUUUGGGAUGAUAAUUGCUUAGUUUGAUCCUGGAAAGGAUAGACUAGGAACUGCCUGGCAACACUCAGGACCUCUCAAACAUAGAAAGCCUUUGAAUGCAUAUUACUGGAAAACAAGAAACAACCUUCCAGGCAUCUGGGGAAAGUGGUUGGAGAUAAUUUGAAAACUAGCAAAAUGAGGAAGAGAAGGAAAAAAAAAAAGGAUUUGACUGCGUAAGAGUGACGCUAAUUAGAACCACUUGUGUCUGUUUCCAUUUACAUUUAUACUGCAACAUAUCAGACUGCAAGAUUUUGGGUGCUUAUCAUAUGUUUUAUUUUAUAGCAACAAGUUCUUGCCACUGGACCUCUCAGACCACACCUGAGUGCAGAGAAGCACCUCUAUGUUGGCUUGGAUUUCAUGCUGACCUGGUUUCAAACUUGCUAUACCAUGUAUUGGCUGUGCAGCCUUGGGCAAGCCACAUAAACCCUAACCUCAGGUUUUUCACCUGUAAAGUGAAAGUUAAAAAAAGGGGGAGGGGGGAGAACAUGUCCUAAAUAUCAUGUGUGUAAAUGCACACGGCACCGUGUUAGCUACUAUUUGUAUCAUGAUGAUGAUUAAUAAGCAUGGCCAAAUAUGAUCAUUGAAAGCUUGAAACAGUUUUGUUGUUUUGAUUAGGGAAAAGCAUUGUCCUCACCUCUCUCCAUUUUGCAGCUGUGUUUCUAACUUACAGUCCCACCUCCUGUUCCACCCUCCCCAUAACAGACUUAUAUAUCCUUCAGCAAAUACAAUAACUUGCUAAGAAAAGAAACAAGAAUAAGGAGAGCAGAGGGGUGGAGUAACAGAAGAACGAGAUUAAAAGGAAGAGGCUAUUUUUAAGUUUAUAAAACAACCUCAUGCCAUGCAGCAGAAAUAGAUCCAGCGUUGUCAACAGAGAAGGGAAAUUUCUUUGUGACACUUCCUGGGGUGAAGGACAGAAAAUUUACCGCAAUGAACCAUCCAGAGGUGAUUAGAGAGAAGGUCCCGUCCAGUCCUUAGGCAACACUCCCAUCUUACCACACAUAAAUACCCAGUGUCCAGAUAUAACCACAUUGAUUUCACCGUCAGAAAAAUCAAGACAUCUAAACUAGGAAUAUGUUAACUGAAAUGCAUAUUCUAUGGGAUUCUAUAAAGUUGCACAGGGAGAACCAAGAGACAGUUCCAGAGAUUGAAUCUGGCCUUAAAUAUACGGUAUUAAACAUGUGCAAACUGGAGGUAAUAGCAGACCUUAAGUGAAGUGUGAGGGAACAAAUUAACUGCUCAGUAAUCAUUGAGAAACUCUAACGUUCCAUAGUUGCUUCUUAAAGGGGAGGAGCACGUAGGCCACAGGAUCUCAGCUUAGGAGGGGGAUGUGGCUGGAAAGUGCUUGGGUCGAACUUCUGAGCCUAAUGAAAAAAAAAGAAGGUGCUUCAGGGGACUGGAGGGUAGAAAAAUGGGAAACCCUUCCAAGGGCCUGUAUUGAGAUCUUCACAGGCUAUCAAUUGUAUUUGGAAGAGUGGUUAUUAUGUUUAUUUGAGAUUUAUUAUAGAAGAAGGAAUUAUCAAUGGAACAACUCCUAGUGGAUAGAUAAUUGGCAAAACAUUUAUCAUUGACUCAUUGUUCCUGGGAAAGCUAUUAAUCUUUAUCACUUCAGUAUCUGUCAAUAAAAUAUGGGAUUAUUAUCUGUCAAUAAAUUAUGGCCUUGCCCUACAUCUUAGUAAUAUGAGAACUGCACAAGAUGGCCAUUGCCCAUCAGGACAGCUGCCACUCAAACACCAAGGAAUUCUUCGAAGUGUGUAAUAGAGACCUCUAAUCAGCUACCACAACCACCUGUGGAGGAGAGAGCCGGAGGGGUGGUGAAAAACCUCAUUUGGUGAUUUAGAAAGUAAAAAGGAAGAAGAGUGAGUGGGUGAGAGUCCUAACAGCCUGAGGUAUCAAUGAGAUUUGAGAUAAAUUAUGAAAAAUAAGGGAGAAAAUAUAAGGCAUAGAUGGAAGCACAGUGCAAUAUCCAAAUAAUAAAGAAAACAUCCCAAGUGAGUUUUGCAGUCCAAAGGCAUAAAUAAAUACAGCAGUCAAGUAAAACUGGGAAGGAAGCUUAAAAGGGGGUGGGGAGCGGAGAGUUAAAGUAAAAAAGACCACAUUAAGAAAAUCUUAGACGUUGUACAAACGCACAGAAUUAAAUGAGAACAAAAAGCAAAACAGUCAUGAAAAUGGAUGAUGUCCUGCUGGGGGUUUUCUCAUUCAUUAACUUUUCAUUCUUUUUCCUUAAACAAAUGAUUUCAAGUUAUUGCUCACUUUCAAUUUUUUAAAAACUACCUUAAAGGAGUUCCCCUGUGGUGCAGUAGAUUAAUGAUCUGAUGUUGUCACUGCAGAAGCUCAGGUCACUGCUGUGAUGUGGCUUCAGUCCCUGGCCCAGAAACUUUCACGUAUGCCAUGCGCUUGGUCCAAAAAAAAAAAAAAGGACCACCUUACAGAGCCACGAAGCUGGGAUUCAGUUGUUUUAAUGGUAAAUGUAAACUGGCUAGCUGAAGGAUAGCGGCUCAUGAUGAAGAAAAAAAUGAUAGUCCAAGAGGAAGAGUGUAUCUGGGUUUGCCCAGCGCCGUCCAGAGAGACAGAGACGCUGGGACUCACUUCUGUCUGGACUUUCACCUCUUCACCUGAAGCAAGGCCUUUAUAGUUUCCCUCUGGCAUACCCAGAACUGUCAGCGUCACUACUCUUGCACUUUGGGGCCAUUAUUAAGUGAAACAGGGGUUACUUGAACACAAGCAUUGCAAUACUGAGAGAGUUCAUCUGAAAACAGAGAACAGCCAUUAAGUGACUAACAGGACGUGCUGGACCAAAGGAUGAUUCGCAUCCUGGGUGGGAUGAAGAGGACAGUGAGAGAUGCCAUCGUGCGCCUCAUAACGGUGUGCGACUGAAAACUUAUAAAUUAACUCUGGAAUUUCCCAUUGCAUAGUUUCAGGCUGAGGUUGACCACGGGUAACUGAAAGUGCAGAAAGCAAAACCGUGGAGAAGGGGGACUGCUGUAUUGCAUUAAGGGUGGUGUUUGUUUUCAAAUAAGCAUGGAAUUGGUUUUUUUUAUUUUUAAACAUCCACCAGGCUGCCUAAGACAUUUAAAAACUCCCUCCUCCCUCGGGCACAGGGCAUUUGUGCAUUAGCUUUGUCCCGAGGACCCUGAUGUCCCCCAUCCCUGCCAUCCCACUCCCACCCCUGCGGCUGUCCCAGGAGAGCGUCCACUCUCACAGGGACCCUUCCUCUCGGCCUCCAGCUCCUUCAGGGCAGGCCUCACACCUCCUGGAAAAUUGAGCAAUGCCACCAUAACCACAAGGCCACAAGGCCACUUCACUGCUCCCUUUCUCUCCCCAUCACACCCUGACCACACCAUUCCCUCGGCUCCUGCCCUGUCCCGCCCCGCCAUGUCCAUCACAGCCUCCUGAGCCUUUUCUUUCUAAUCUAUUCAGCACAGGUUCUAACUGUAUAUUAAUUUAUUAAACUAAUGGAGGCAGGAUCCAUGUCCACUUAGCUCAUCGGUAGAUUUUAGCACCUGCUACCAUCCUACCAUGCUUGGCACCUAGAUGACAAUCAAUAAAACAUUUUCAACAGACAAGUGAGCAAAUGGCUAACCCCAGCCACCUGGCUACUCCAUGCUGCUCGCUCCUACUGACCAUCUCAGGCAACUCACUCAUGGUCAGAAGCAGCCUGCACACCAGGACAGCAUAUUUGUUGUCCCUUGGCUUGGCAGAGACGAGAAAUUCACUUGUGAGUCAAGUGCCACUGGAAGGACUCUUCCCCCAGGAAACAAAGCAGCCACAUCUCUGGGCGGCCACUCUGCAACUGUCCCUCCCAUGGCUGCAGAAGCAGGAGUGAAAUCACUACGCUUCAGAGGGAACCUGCUCUCUUCAAAUACCGCCAUUCUAUCAGAAACACCACUGAGCAUUUUAAUCCCUUCAAGUCCUUUCUGCCCACCCCCCACCCAGGCAGACUCUGCCCUAGAAGCCAGUGGACCAGCUCUCCUACUCCCUGCCCAUGGCAGGUCCUUUUCACCAAAAGAAAUGAAAUGGCAAUAUGUUCAAAUUAGUUUUAAAAAGUUCUGUGGGGCGUUGCCGUUGUGGCGCAGCAGAAACAAUGCUGACUAGUAUCCAUGAGGAUGCAGGUUCAAUCCCUGGCCUUACUCCCUGGUUGGGGAUCUGUUGUAGCCAUGAGCUGUGGUGUAGGUCACAGGUGUGGCUUGGGUCCCACGUUGCUGUGGCUGUGUUGUAGGCCGACAGCUGUAGCUCCAAUUCGACCCCUAGCCUGAGAACUUCCAUGUGCUGCAGGUGCAGUCCUGGAAAAUAAAUAAAUAAAUAAAUAAUUCUGUGAUUUGUGGAUUAGCCACAUCUAAUAAACUGUUGUUUAUUAGGAAAAAAAUGUGAUUUUUCUAACCAAAAUAAUCCACAUAUGUUAGUUUUGAGUUUCUUGGAUGAAAUGUGCUAAAACAAAUACUAUCCUCUAUGCUAACGUACCAGUGAAAGUGAAAUGCCCCAAACUCCUAUCAAAAUAUAGGUAUUUUAUCCAGCUCCUACUUGAAAUCUUCAUGUCAUUUAUUUUCAUCCUCAAGAGACAUAUCAAUUCACAUUAUCUGGUAGAGGAUAUAAAAAUGAAGAGAUCCCUGUUGGCUCAGCAGAUUAAGCAUUCAGCCUUGUCACCACUGAGGCGUGGGUUCAAUCCCCAGCCCAGGAACUUGUCUAUGCCGUGGGCACCGCCCCCCUCCAAAUAAAAAGGGGGGCAUGAAUUUAUUCUGAUUUCAUCUGCCACCUAUGAUAUGUUACUUCCUCCCUGCUUAAAUUUUAUCUUUCAAUAUGUUGAGUUCAUUUUUCGGUUUUUCUAUUUGGGUCUCAGGUUUUUACACAGUGUCUCUAGCAUGGAGAAAAAAAAACAACAAACAAAAUAUGUGCUGGCUCACAAGUUACUCCUCUGAUCCUGAGAACUGUAUUCACUUGUCUUUAAUCCUCCCUUAUUAAGUACACCUCUAAGAACUGAUUUCAUGCCUCUUGCAACACACCACACCCUUUAAAUAAAACAGAG
RNAcentral lists this long non-coding RNA (8083 nucleotides) under Sus scrofa (pig). Its description in RNAcentral is "lncRNA (ENSSSCG00030000533.1)". The record is from RNAcentral. Lineage: Eukaryota; Metazoa; Chordata; Mammalia; Artiodactyla; Suidae.